AGUCGAACGGGAUCUGAGGGUAGCUUGCUACCCGAUUUGAGAGUGGCGCACGGGUGCGUAACGCGUGAGCAACCUACCCAUAUCAGGGGGAUAGCCCGGAGAAAUCCGGAUUAACACCGCAUAACAUUGCUGAUCGGCAUCGAUUAGUAAUUAAAUAUUUAUAGGAUAUGGAUGGGCUCGCGUGACAUUAGCUAGUUGGUAAGGUAACGGCUUACCAAGGCAACGAUGUCUAGGGGCUCUGAGAGGAGAAUCCCCCACACUGGUACUGAGACACGGACCAGACUCCUACGGGAGGCAGCAGUAAGGAAUAUUGGUCAAUGGAGGCAACUCUGAACCAGCCAUGCCGCGUGCAGGAUGACUGCCCUAUGGGUUGUAAACUGCUUUUGUACGGGAAUAACCCCUAUUAUGUAUAGUAGGCUGAAUGUACCGUAAGAAUAAGGAUCGGCUAACUCCGUGCCAGCAGCCGCGGUAAUACGGAGGAUCCAAGCGUUAUCCGGAUUUAUUGGGUUUAAAGGGUGCGUAGGUGGCUUUUUAAGUCAGGGGUGAAAUACGGCAGCUCAACUGUCGCAGUGCCUUUGAUACUGAAGAGCUUGAAUAACGUUGAAGAUGGCGGAAUGAGACAAGUAGCGGUGAAAUGCAUAGAUAUGUCUCAGAACACCGAUUGCGAAGGCAGCUGUCUAAGCGUUUAUUGACACUGAUGCACGAAAGCGUGGGGAUCAAACAGGAUUAGAUACCCUGGUAGUCCACGCCCUAAACGAUGAUAACUCGAUGUUUGCGAUAUACAGUAAGCGUC
This 793-nucleotide ribosomal RNA is filed under the name bacterium 52-L049660-122-017-D07. Its description in RNAcentral is "bacterial SSU rRNA". It matches the Rfam family "Bacterial small subunit ribosomal RNA", at positions 60 to 847 of the family's 1533-position model. The record is from RNAcentral.